RNAcentral lists this ribosomal RNA (252 nucleotides) under uncultured bacterium. RNAcentral's name for it is "partial 16S ribosomal RNA". It matches the Rfam family "Bacterial small subunit ribosomal RNA", at positions 524 to 776 of the family's 1533-position model. The record is from RNAcentral.
UACGGAGGAUGCGAGCGUUAUCCGGAUUUAUUGGGUUUAAAGGGUGCGUAGGCGGUCUGUUAAGUCAGCGGUAAAAUUGCGGGGCUCAACCCCGUCGAGCCGUUGAAACUGGCAGACUUGAGUUGGCGAGAAGUACGCGGAAUGCGCGGUGUAGCGGUGAAAUGCAUAGAUAUCGCGCAGAACUCCGAUUGCGAAGGCAGCGUACCGGCGCCACACUGACGCUGAGGCACGAAAGCGUGGGGAUCGAACAGG